UAUCCUGCUUUCUUCCGUAGUUACCCUGUACAGAGAACAUAGGCAACUAUAGUUAAUUGAAGACUUCUGGUUCAAUCGCUUGUUUGCAUGAAGGAAAGAUCAAACUGGCUGUGAGCCUUAUUAACUUCUUGCCUUAUUUAGCUGAAAUAUAAUUGUCUGAACACUGCCAGUCACACUCGAGUUCCCUAGGACUACUGUAGAGAUUUUUUAAAAAUAACUUUUUGUAAUGUUUCUUCAUCAAACUGGAUAGUCUGAACUCAUUAUUCUAGUAGGCAUUCCCCGGGGAGGGGAAAGCGAAAUAGCAUAAUAGAAUCUUAGAGUUGGAAGGGACCCAAGAGUCAUUUAGUCCAACCCCCUGCAAUGCAGGAAUCUCAGCUAUAGCAUCCAUGACAGAUGGCCAUCCAACCUCUGCUUAAAAACUUCCACCACCUCUUGUGGGAGUCUGUUCCACUGCUGAACAGCUCUUACUGUCAGAAAGUUUUUCCUGAAUGUUUAGUCAGUCAGAAUCUACUUUCUUGUGACUUGAAGCCCUUGGAGAGCCAGUGUGGUGUAGUGGUUAAGAGCGGUAGUCUCGUAAUCUGGGGAACUGGGUUCGCGUCUCCGCUCCUCCACAUGCAGCUGCUGGGUGACCUUGGGCCAGUCACACUUCUCUGAAGUCUCUCAGCCCCACUCACCUCACAGAGUGUUUGUUGUGGGGGAGGAAGGGAAAGGAGAAUGUUACCCGCUCCUUCGGGUAGUGAUAAAGCGGGAUAUCAAAUCCAAAGUCUCUCUUCUCUCUCUCUUGGUUCGAAUCCUGCCCUACAGAGCAGGAGAAAACAAGUGUGUUCCCUCUUCCAUGUGACAGCCCUUAAGAUAUUGUGAGACUGCAGUCAAGUGCAGAGCUAUUGGAGUUUGAGGACGGAAAUUAUUGGGUGUUGGAGAAGUGUUCUGUAAGUUCAGGGAAGGGGUACUGGGAUUUGUAUGAGAACCAAGCUGGUAAGAAGUAGAGUGGGUGAAGAUGGAUUGAUGAACGGAACAGAAGUGCAGGGCAAGGCUGUUUUAUCGAAAGGUUAUCACUGCCAUGUUAGCGAGUGGAUGGAUAUGGAUUUCGCUUAUAUUGUUAACCACCCACACAGUACAGUUCAAUAUCCCUCUCUGUUCCUGUUAGCAUUUGCUGGGGUCACCGCUGAACACACUUUUGAGCAGUUCCUCCUCUGUGCGAGCUGGAAACAUAUUUCUUUUCAGGGUUAUUCAAGCAUGCAUCCUUUUAUUCUUUCCCGUGAACAUAUUUAUUGUGACUACUGAAAAGUUAUCGUUCUCUAAAAUGUGUUAAGCCUUCCCCGCUGCCUCUCUCAGGGACAUACAGGUAUAGAAACUGUUGCUUCAAAAAGACGUUGCUUGGAAAUAUGGUUGCUGUUGCUUUUUUCUCUCCCUGGAAACCUUGUAGUGUUCUCGUUCUUUCCCAACAUUUCGUCGUCCCCCCCUUUUCUUUUUUGAAGAUUCGACAUUGCAACUUUUUGUCCUUGGCGAGGCCGAAAAAACAAAACAAAUGGUGGAGGGCCUUGAAAUGUUUACCCUCGUUGCUUUUAAAACGUUUUUUUAAAAAAUCAAAUAUAAACAACAAAUUAUAAACUGCAUUGUUUUUGUACACCUGUGGAGAUUUUUGUUUUAAAAAUGAGUUCCUUCUUACACAAACGAUGGUGUGUCCAUUUUCCACACCAGUGCUUUAAUCAUUUUUUGAGUAUUGUAAGAUGGCAUGGGCAAGAAAAUGCAAAUAGGCUGUAGAAAUGGAAAACGACAACAGCCCUGUGAUCUUAAAUAGCAAAUUUGUGCUAUUAGUAGUAAUUAGUAUUACAACCAAUUGAUUCUAUAUUCUUAUUAAUUAAGUUGAACAACACUUUAUAUUCAUUUACAAAUUACGUUCAUGUAAUACAGGGUGUCUUGUUGUUAUUAUUGAGGUCAGGUCACCUGAAUUUAGCACAGUUAAAAUAUCACUAGCUCUUUGUAUUAGUUUUGUAUUAGUUUUAGUGCUUUAGUACUGCCUGAUUCUUUGAUUCAGUAAAUCACUGUGAAUAAACAAUCAUUUGUUAAUGUGAGAACAUAAAAAAAUUGCAUUGUGUACUUCUCAUCAUAAUGAGCCCCCAGUUCUGUUUAUUAUUGUAGAAUUCUGUUUUGUUUCUAUUCUUGUUAAAGGCGAAUGGCUCUGUCCAGAAUUUCCAUGUUGUAGAAUAUCCCUAUGGAGAUGGUGUACAGCAUGUGCCUCAUUUUUAUAUAUAUAUAUAUACAGCUAAUAAGAUCCUAAAUGUGCAUUCUGGCUUCUUGGAGACAUAUUGUAAAAAUAAACUAUCCAAAUGACUGCUUUGCCGAGUGCUUGUGUAGAAGUGUGGAAACAAAGUAAUAAAUUCCCUUUCCACACCUGAAAAUUAAUAUUGACAGAUAGCAUUACAAAGGUAAAUGGCAAAUAUCAAAACAAACAAACAAUUGCAUAGCAGGAUUGGUAUUUCUUUCCUUUUGCUGUUCAGUAUACCAUUUCCUUGCAAAUUACACUAAAGCUGAACAUUUGCAAAAUCACCUUGGUACAGGAUUUGUCCUUUCAACCUAUUCCCAUAGCUGCACCUUCCAGCCCCAAUUGCUGUCUUGCUUCUUAGUUCUUGCUGUCUUUUUAUACUUUCUUUGGUAUAUUUGGUUCAUAAAAUCACAGCCAGAAGUGCAAGCGUUAUUAUAAUAAAACAAGUCAUGCCUACCUUACAUUUUGUGUCAUCACCUAGGAUAUUGUGUGCUCAGUAUUAUCACUUGUACCAUAAGAAGGAAAUUAGAGCAUGUAUUUUCCACAUGGAGAAAUCAAAUGUAAUCUAAAUGCAAACCACGAGUUUUAUUGCAUGGCAGCCUUUGAUAGCAGCACUGCUAUUACUAAUUCCACUAUGACAAGAGUACAUUGUAGUCCAGAAGUUUCCAACACUGUUUUUUGUUUUUGUUUUUUUAUUGCUUGGUUUUGGUGGUUUUUGUGUGUUUGUUUGUUUGUUUGUUUGUUUGCCUUUUAGCUUUGCAAAAUCAACAGAAUUUGGUCCUAAUAAGUCAAAGAGUAUUUGGCAAUCAUUUGCUCAAAAAGCAUCAGCAUUGUAGCCCAAUGCCGUGAAAAGUAGGCAAGAAGACUAAAUUAUUUGGUACCAUAGUAACUGACCAAAAGGCAUGAGAGCUUUUAUGUCAAUUAAGGUCUGGUGUCCUGCCAACAUGAGAUGAUAUUCUUAAAUAGAUUACUUACUUCAUUUCCAAGUUUUCCUCCAUACUGUGGCUCAAUUAAACUAAAUAUAUCAGUGUGGCGUAAUGACCAAUUAAUGUAUUGUCAUGUGUUUGUGAGAUACACACAGAGAAAGACAGAGAAAGCGCUUUUAUGGAUGUCUUCUUUUAUGCAAAAACAGAAGAUAAUUGUUGUUGUAAAUUACUGCUGAAUAAUUAACAUAAGAGGUCUCUGGUAUUGCUUCCCCUGUCCUGUUUUAGAAGAGGUAGCUAAUCAAUGUUAGUGUAUUUCAUAAGGUUGUACAAUUUUUUGUGAGCAUUAUCUCAAAAUACGAAACACCUGUAGACUCUACCUCUUGACAAAUUCAUUAGUCCGACGCAAUUCAUUGGUAUAGUUUUUUUCCCUGCAGAUGUUUGAUUUUAUUUACUUAUUCAUAAAAGUCUUUAUAGGCUUCCUUUUUCGGACAUGGCUGGCUCACAGAAGUGUCUUGCACAUUAUAAAAACACAGUGCAGAUUAAAAUGACCAAGUUAGCAGUAUUAACAAUAAUUUAAAAACAUUGUUAAAUAGAUAAGACAAUAUAAAUAUCAGCAGUUUAAAAAAAAAAUCACCAAAGAAGGAAAUAAAUCAUGUCACAAAUGAGGCUGGUUUGGGUGGGAGUAUUGCUCACAGGCAGUAGCCUCUGAUCUUGGGACAACAGGACCCAGAAAGAAUGGAUCUCCAAGAAUUUCGGACCAUCAUUCUUUUCUCUUUGCUUCUUUCCCAUCCUCCCUCUGUGACUGGCAGUUUCAUUCCACCUCUCUUUUUAGCUUUGUAGAUUCCACUGACUCCACUGCAGCUAUUUCAUGCACAAAAGGGAACAAAAAUGCUCCAAAUAAUUAGGGCCUUCCUUCAGUUCAGAUCCAGCAUCAGCACCUAUUGUCUUGUGGAAGAUUCUGGAGCCUCAGGGCUCAAGAAAGGUCCAUAGCUUACUACUGCUGUGGCAAUUUCUGGUUGCCAUCUUGGUUUUCCUUCCCCCUUUUUUUUAUGACAAUUUAUUAAUUUUUC
Molecule: long non-coding RNA, 4262 nt
Filed under: Podarcis lilfordi (Lilford's wall lizard)
Lineage: Eukaryota; Metazoa; Chordata; Lepidosauria; Squamata; Lacertidae
Source: RNAcentral